This 785-nucleotide long non-coding RNA is filed under the name Bos taurus (domestic cattle). Its description in RNAcentral is "long non-coding RNA NONBTAT018145". The record is from RNAcentral. Lineage: Eukaryota; Metazoa; Chordata; Mammalia; Artiodactyla; Bovidae.
CAAACGCACAGAGAGAAUUUUAUUUCAUGAACAGAACAGCGUUAGUCAAAGUGAAAAUAAUGAUUUCACCUAAGAGGUCAAAUACCACAAAACUCACCAUGUUGGGUUUACAGUAAUGUAACGGACAAAGGAAUAGAUCAAGUGUCUGAAGUUGGUAGCAAGAAAAGCUAAUUUCUACUAAAGAGAAACAUGAAAUCUCAUUUCUGGAUUACCAACCUAAUUUAUUGAAGAAUAGAGGAAAUAGCAUAACUUGAAAAAGUCAAAAUAUAUUAGCAGCACUAUAUUUUUAUGUCUGUACAUCUAGACGAGCCAGAUAGCUGGCCGGUUGAAGGGAGGGGAUGUGGUUAGCUUUGUUAAACUUAAGCCAAAGCCAUUAACGCCUCGCUUAAACAGUAGUGCUUUUCUUCUUGAUGUUUAGGUAGGUCAUCUAGUUUCUGGAGCUUAGAGAUGAAGAAGUCUCUACUUGAUGACCGUCUAUUAAUCUAUGAGAUUAUUAAGAACUGUUAAGUGAUACACAGACCAUAGAAACCAUAUGUUUUACUUCCAAUAACUUCCAAUCGUUUGUGGCAGGACCAAGGAAAUACACACCUCUAUCGAAUACUCAGGAGUCCUGGAGUUCACUGAUUUGCCAAAGGUUUUAGAGAAAGUGUGGAUUAUGCAAGAACUAACAAACACUCAAACUAAAUUCUGAUUAAGAGUCAUCCUAUCUAUGGUUUCUUUUGGAAUUAUCAGGAUUGCAACAGAGUUUAAAUUACUCAAGGAGAAAUGGUCAUGGAGCUCUGGAG